This 429-nucleotide ribosomal RNA is filed under the name bacterium. RNAcentral's name for it is "partial 16S ribosomal RNA". It matches the Rfam family "Bacterial small subunit ribosomal RNA", at positions 355 to 776 of the family's 1533-position model. The record is from RNAcentral.
UAGGGAAUCUUCGGCAAUGGGGGCAACCCUGACCGAGCAACGCCGCGUGAGUGAAGAAGGUUUUCGGAUCGUAAAGCUCUGUUGUAAGAGAAGAACGUGUGUGAGAGUGGAAAGUUCACACAGUGACGGUAACUUACCAGAAAGGGACGGCUAACUACGUGCCAGCAGCCGUCGUAAUACGUAGGUCCCGAGCGUUGUCCGGAUUUAUUGGGCGUAAAGCGAGCGCAGGCGGUUUAAUAAGUCUGAAGUUAAAGGCAGUGGCUUAACCAUUGUUCGCUUUGGAAACUGUUAAACUUGAGUGCAGAAGGGGAGAGUGGAAUUCCAUGUGUAGCGGUGAAAUGCGUAGAUAUAUGGAGGAACACCGGUGGCGAAGGCGGCUCUCUGGUCUGUAACUGACGCUGAGGCUCGAAAGCGUGGGGAGCAAACAGG